RNAcentral lists this long non-coding RNA (1332 nucleotides) under Macaca fascicularis (crab-eating macaque). RNAcentral's name for it is "lncRNA (ENSMFAG00000061149.1)". Lineage: Eukaryota; Metazoa; Chordata; Mammalia; Primates; Cercopithecidae. The record is from RNAcentral.
AAAUAAACAGUAAGGCUGGAGUGGAAAUCAAUCAGGCUGCCUUGAUCUGCAGGGCUUUGUGACAAUGGCUAAUAAAUCAUGGAAUUUUGGGAGACAGCUGACUGGUAUGUUACUUGACUAGUAUGACCAAAAAAAGAAAAAACAAGGAAAACUGGUGAGCGUAAAGCUAAGGUAGCCUGUCACAAUGGGAAAAUCACGGUCUCUUCAUCAGCUUCUAGAUCUAAGUCAAUUUACAGAUCCAGUGCACAAUGAAGAGGAGGACUGGUCUUGAGGAAAGGCCUUGCUUUCACAAGUAUAUAUGAUGUACAUGCCCAGAAUUUUUCAGAACUGGAUACUAUUAUGGCUUUGUAUGUAGAUGAGGGGUUAUGGAAACCAUAUGAUAAAGGGAGUCCUGGCCAGUCUAUCACAUAAUGGUUCCCAUUUUGCAAUUAUUUUCCCAAUCUCUAAGUAUAUAUUUGGGAUCAAUAUACUUAGAUCCCCGUGGAGGUCUUAGACCUGUGAAGUAACAACCAUUAUGGGAGGAAGAGGAAACCUCUCCCUGGCCAUGUUAAUAAAUUAUGAGCACUCCACAUGAGGAAUGGCAGACAUCAGUGUCACCAUCAAAAAAUUUUAGGGAUGCAAGCGUAAUGGGCUCCAUCAUAAUCUCAUUUAAGUUACCAUCAGACUCCUGAAAAAGAGCAGAUAGAUAAUGGAGAAUGAUGGCGGACUACUGCUAGUCUCAGUUGUAGCUGCUGUAUUGGAUGUGGUAUCUUUACUGGCAUCCUCUGGCAUUUGAUAUGCAGCUAUUGAUUUGGCAAAUUCACUCUUCUAAAUUUCCAUCAGAAAGGAGGAUCAAAAGCAGUUCACAUUUCUCUGGGAUGGACGGCGAUUCUCAUUUACUCUGUUGCCCCCAAAAAUCUUAAAUCUCCUUUUCUAUAUCACAAUAUAAUCCAAAAGGACCUUGAUCAUCUUUACAUUCUACAGGACAUCAUGCCAGCCCACUAUAUUGUGACAGCAUGCUAGGGGAAUUGGCUAUCAGGAAGCGGCAAGUAUUACAAAUGCCCUAGUAAGGCUUACAUGUGCCGGAGUGUGGAUUAUAGACUCUAUGAAGAAUCUGGGGCAUGCCACAUUGAUGAAGAGUUUAGAAGACCAAUGAGUUGAGGCAUGCCUAGAUAUUUCUUCUAUAGUAAAGAACAAUUUCUUGUAUCUUCCAACCUCUUAACACUAAGAUAGAGGCAUAGGAUUUAGUAGGUCCCUCUGGACUUUGGAAGCACAUAUAUUGUAUUUGGUGUAUUCCUCUCACCCAUUUAAUGCCAGUUUCAAGUGGAUCCCAUUUAAAAAAAAAAAAAAAAA